AAACAUUAUGAGUCAUUCAUUCCCUCCAUUCCCUUUCUUGUCUUUUCUCCCUUUACUAAAUAUUCUCCUCUUGCAAUUAUAAAGUCUCUCUUACAAUGAGAGGCUAAACCCCAUUUGCUGGGAUUUGACAGCCAACUACUAUUGAUGUAAUUUCUCUUCCUAUCUAUUUAUGAAUAUUACAUUCGUAUUAUCUUUUCCUAUGAUUAAUAUUAUUAUUUGUGACUUAAUCAUCCAUUUGCAUGGUAAGUUUUAGAGGUAGUGUUGGGAAAUGUUAUUUUCUAAUAGAACCUGGAAAGGAUAUUGUUAGUCAUUAUUUACGACUAACUUUUGUAUUAAAUAACUUCAUUAAAUUAACAUCUUUUUUUCCAAUUUAUGGUUCUUUUUGUAGGAGUUGUACAUAUUUUUAUGUUUAGUUUGGUUUUACUCAGCAGAUACUCCAAUUUUGUGAAUUAAUGUUGAUAUCACUUUAGUUUCAAGCCAAAAGAAGAGAAGGUCUAGCAGUUGGUGUCUUGCUAAGCGAGGCAUAUGCGCUUAGCGAGUGAUAUCCGCUAAGCAAGGUACUCAGCUUGCUUAACACAUUGGGGAAUCCUAGAAGAAGAUCAGUCUUAGAUGCCCACGCCCAGUGCACCAUCAGUUCGCCCAGCGAGUCAUUUGUCCCUUCUCGCGCUUAGCGCGCCCAGCUCGUUAAGCCAAAAUUCACUUACUCUUGCUUAGCGAGCCAAUCUCGCUAAGCGAGCCUUCAGAAGCUGAAAUAUCCAAGUAGCCUUUAAAACACUGAAGUUGACGAAAAUCAAAAGAGGAGUCAAAAAAUAGAGCCAAAGGAGAAGCUAGAGCGACAGAAAUGAAGCCACCAA
RNAcentral lists this long non-coding RNA (854 nucleotides) under Glycine max (soybean). RNAcentral describes it as "long non-coding RNA (GMAX_LNC000439)". The record is from RNAcentral. Lineage: Eukaryota; Viridiplantae; Streptophyta; Magnoliopsida; Fabales; Fabaceae.